AGCCUCCUGCACAGGUGCUUUCAUCUCAGUAUCCAGAAAGUGAUCCUGAUUAUUGUGUGUGGGUGCCACCAACAGAUCAAAGUGGUGAUGGCAGAACUCAUCUGAAUGAUAAAUACGGCUACUGAAAUCUCUAGGUCUUUGAACUCACGAUAGAUCUAGUUUACCAACCUUUUAAAUAAGUUCACUCUGAAAUCCAGGUGAAGGGUAGAGCACUUCUCAACAUGAUUCUGCAUGGGGUCAUGUUAAUAGUUAAGCACUCUGGAUGCCAGACUCUCCAGAAACCUAAAACAAGGAAGGACUGUUGUUUUGGAUAGUAUGGUACAUGAAGGCACCUUCAAUGCCCUGAGAUAUUUUUUUUAGGUUCUGAAAACAUAAUCAGUACAACUCACUAAUUCAGAAAUAUCAAUACUUCUAAAACAAUUAAGUCACUCUGUGAUGCACUUUAGAGCACAAGCAGAGGGUAAUAUUGCAUAACAAAAAAGAUCCGUGGAAAUUCAGCAGAUUUACAGCAUGGAUUCAUAUAUUCUCCAUCAGCAUUUUUAUUACCAUCAGAAUGGUUGUAGCUGUAAAGUUGCUGAGUAAAAAAUAUUUGUUCUUUGACUUGUAUUUCAACAGACUUUUUUUCUGUUCUACAUAUUUUAUUUAGUUUGAUUUCUGUAUAUUGUAAGAUACUCAUUUUAAUGUCUGUAUAUUAUAAAUAUUGUUCAAAGUAGAAUGGGAUUUGAAUAUGUUUUACAAUAAAGUUGUAACACCUUAA
Protopterus annectens (West African lungfish) is the source of this 757-nucleotide long non-coding RNA. RefSeq lists it as uncharacterized. The record is from RefSeq and is a predicted model, not a curated record. Lineage: Eukaryota; Metazoa; Chordata; Ceratodontiformes; Protopteridae. The transcript is spliced from 2 exons.